CGGAGCCAAGAUGGCGGCAUGAGUAGAGCAGCGGAAAUCUCCUCCCAAAACCACAUAAACCUAUGAAAAUAUAACAAAGACAACUCUUCCUAAAAUAGAGACCAGAGGACACAGGACAACAUCCAGACCACAUCCACACCUGCGAGAACCCAGUGCCUCGUAAAGGGGGAGAGGAGGGCCACAAACCAACAAGAAGGAAAGCUCUUCCAGCCGUCACUUGUACCAGCUCUGCAAACUAUCUCUAUCACCAUGAAAAGGCAAAACUACAGGCAAACCAAAAUCACAGAGUCAACAACUGAGAAGGAGACAGAUCCUAACCAGUCUUCCUGAAAAAGAAUUCAAAAUAAAAAUCAUGAACAUGCUGACGGAGAUGCAGAGAAAAAUGCAAGAGCAAUGGGAUGAAGUCCGGAG
Molecule: long non-coding RNA, 411 nt
Organism: Manis pentadactyla (Chinese pangolin)
Lineage: Eukaryota; Metazoa; Chordata; Mammalia; Pholidota; Manidae
Exons: 2
Source: RefSeq, a predicted model, not a curated record